Molecule: ribosomal RNA, 440 nt
Filed under: uncultured bacterium
Lineage: Bacteria
Description: partial 16S ribosomal RNA
Rfam family: Bacterial small subunit ribosomal RNA
Source: RNAcentral
CCUACGGGAGGCAGCAGUGGGGAAUAUUGCACAAUGGGGGAAACCCUGAUGCAGCGACGCCGCGUGAGUGAGGAAGUAUCUCGGUAUGUAAAGCUCUAUCAGCAGGGAAGAAAAGGACGGUACCUGACGAAGAAGCCCCGGCUAACUACGUGCCAGCAGCCGCGGUAAUACGUAGGGGGGCAGCGUUAUCCGGAUUUACUGGGUGUAAAGGGAGCGUAGACGGGGAUGCAAGUCAGACGGGAAAGCGCUGGGCUCAACCCUGGGACUGCAUUUGAAACUGGGGAGCUAGAGUGUAGGAGAGGUAGGCGGAAUUCCUGGUGUAGCGGUGAAAUGCGUAGAUAUCAGGAAGAACUCCGAUGGCGAAGGCAGCAUACUGGCGCAUGACUGACGCUGAGGCACGAAAGCGUGGGUAGCAAACAGGAUUAGAUACCCUUGUAGUC